This 412-nucleotide ribosomal RNA is filed under the name uncultured bacterium. RNAcentral describes it as "bacterial SSU rRNA". It matches the Rfam family "Bacterial small subunit ribosomal RNA", at positions 356 to 785 of the family's 1533-position model. The record is from RNAcentral.
UGGGAAUAUUGGACAAUGGGCGCAAGCCUGAUCCAGCAAUGCCGCGUGAGUGAUGAAGGCCUUAGGGUUGUAAAGCUCUUUCGCACGCGACGAUGAUGACGGUAGCGUGAGAAGAAGCCCCGGCUAACUUCGUGCCAGCAGCCGCGGUAAUACGAAGGGGGCUAGCGUUGUUAGGAAUUACUGGGCGUAAAGGGCGCGUAGGCGGCCCGAUCAGUCAGAAGUGAAAGCCCCGGGCUCAACCUGGGAACCGCUUUUGAUACUGUCGGGCUUGAGUUCCGGAGAGGAUGGUGGAAUUCCCAGUGUAGAGGUGAAAUUCGUAGAUAUUGGGAAGAACACCGGUGGCGAAGGCGGCCAUCUGGACGGACACUGACGCUGAGGCGCGAAAGCGUGGGGAGCAAACAGGAUUAGAUAC